CCUACGGGAGGCUGCAGUGGGGAAUAUUGGACAAUGGGGGCAACCCUGAUCCAGCCAUGCCGCGUGUGUGAAGAAGGCCCUCGGGUUGUAAAGCACUUUCAGUGAGGAAGAACGCCUGGUGGUUAAUACCCAUCAGGAAAGACAUCACUCACAGAAGAAGCACCGGCUAACUCCGUGCCAGCAGCCGCGGUAAUACGGAGGGUGCGAGCGUUAAUCGGAAUUACUGGGCGUAAAGCGCGCGUAGGUGGCUUGAUAAGCCGGUUGUGAAAGCCCCGGGCUCAACCUGGGAACGGCAUCCGGAACUGUCAAGCUAGAGUGCAGGAGAGGAAGGUAGAAUUCCCGGUGUAGCGGUGAAAUGCGUAGAGAUCGGGAGGAAUACCAGUGGCGAAGGCGGCCUUCUGGACUGACACUGACACUGGGGUGCGAAAGCGUGGGUAGCAAACAGGAUUAGAUACCCUUGUAGUC
RNAcentral lists this ribosomal RNA (465 nucleotides) under Vreelandella stevensii. RNAcentral describes it as "partial 16S ribosomal RNA". It matches the Rfam family "Bacterial small subunit ribosomal RNA", at positions 338 to 795 of the family's 1533-position model. Lineage: Bacteria; Pseudomonadati; Pseudomonadota; Gammaproteobacteria; Oceanospirillales; Halomonadaceae. The record is from RNAcentral.